GUAACCGACGCUUCAUCGAGCGUGAAAUCGAGUAGGGCGGGACACGUGAUAUCCUGUCUGAAUAUGGGGGGACCAUCCUCCAAGGCUAAAUACUCCUGACUGACCGAUAGUGAACCAGUACCGUGAGGGAAAGGCGAAAAGAACCCCUGUGAGGGGAGUGAAAUAGAACCUGAAACCGUGUACGUACAAGCAGUAGGAGCACCUUCGUGGUGUGACUGCGUACCUUUUGUAUAAUGGGUCAGCGACUUAUAUUCAGUGGCAAGGUUAACCGUAUAGGGGAGCCGUAGCGAAAGCGAGUCUUAACUGGGCGCUCAGUCUCUGGAUAUAGACCCGAAACCGGGUGAUCUAGCCAUGGGCAGGUUGAAGGUUGAGUAACAUCAACUGGAGGACCGAACCGACUAAUGUUGAAAAAUUAGCGGAUGACUUGUGGCUAGGGGUGAAAGGCCAAUCAAACUCGGAGAUAGCUGGUUCUCCCCGAAAGCUAUUUAGGUAGCGCCUCGGACGAAUACUACUGGGGGUAGAGCACUGUUAAGGCUAGGGGGUCAUCCCGACUUACCAACCCUUUGCAAACUCCGAAUACCAGUAAGUACUAUCCGGGAGACACACGGCGGGUGCUAACGUCCGUCGUGGAGAGGGAAACAACCCAGACCGCCAGCUAAGGUCCCAAAGUAUUGCUAAGUGGGAAACGAUGUGGGAAGGCUCAGACAGCUAGGAUGUUGGCUUAGAAGCAGCCAUCAUUUAAAGAAAGCGUAAUAGCUCACUAGUCGAGUCGGCCUGCGCGGAAGAUGUAACGGGGCUAAGCAAUACACCGAAGCUGCGGCAAUGUCUUUUAGACAUUGGGUAGGGGAGCGUUCUGUAAGCCGUUGAAGGUGAAUCGUAAGGUUUGCUGGAGGUAUCAGAAGUGCGAAUGCUGACAUGAGUAACGACAAAGGGGGUGAAAAACCUCCUCGCCGGAAGACCAAGGGUUCCUGUCCAACGUUAAUCGGGGCAGGGUGAGUCGACCCCUAAGGUGAGGCCGAAAGGCGUAAUCGAUGGGAAACGGGUUAAUAUUCCCGUACUUCUGACUAUUGCGAUGGGGGGACGGAGAAGGCUAGGUGGGCCAGGCGACGGUUGUCCUGGUUCAAGUGCGUAGGCUUGAGAGUUAGGUAAAUCCGGCUCUCUCUAAGGCUGAGACACGACGUCGAGCUACUACGGUAGUGAAGUCAUUGAUGCCAUGCUUCCAGGAAAAGCCUCUAAGCUUCAGAUAGUCAGGAAUCGUACCCCAAACCGACACAGGUGGUCGGGUAGAGAAUACCAAGGCGCUUGAGAGAACUCGGGUGAAGGAACUAGGCAAAAUGGUACCGUAACUUCGGGAGAAGGUACGCUCUUGAUGGUGAAGUCCCUCGCGGAUGGAGCUGACGAGAGUCGCAGAUACCAGGUGGCUGCAACUGUUUAUUAAAAACACAGCACUGUGCAAAAUCGCAAGAUGACGUAUACGGUGUGACGCCUGCCCGGUGCCGGAAGGUUAAUUGAUGGGGUUAGCGCAAGCGAAGCUCUUGAUCGAAGCCCCGGUAAACGGCGGCCGUAACUAUAACGGUCCUAAGGUAGCGAAAUUCCUUGUCGGGUAAGUUCCGACCUGCACGAAUGGCGUAAUGAUGGCCACGCUGUCUCCACCCGAGACUCAGUGAAAUUGAAAUCGCUGUGAAGAUGCAGUGUACCCGCGGCUAGACGGAAAGACCCCGUGAACCUUUACUACAGCUUGGCACUGAACAUUGAACCUACAUGUGUAGGAUAGGUGGGAGGCUAUGAAGACGUGACGCCAGUUGCGUUGGAGCCGUCCUUGAAAUACCACCCUUGUAUGUUUGAUGUUCUAACUUAGACCCAUUAUCUGGGUUGAGGACAGUGCCUGGUGGGUAGUUUGACUGGGGCGGUCUCCUCCCAAAGAGUAACGGAGGAGCACGAAGGUGGGCUAAUCACGGUUGGACAUCGUGAGGUUAGUGCAAUGGCAUAAGCCCGCUUAACUGCGAGAAUGACGGUUCGAGCAGGUGCGAAAGCAGGUCAUAGUGAUCCGGUGGUUCUGUAUGGAAGGGCCAUCGCUCAACGGAUAAAAGGUACUCCGGGGAUAACAGGCUGAUACCGCCCAAGAGUUCAUAUCGACGGCGGUGUUUGGCACCUCGAUGUCGGCUCAUCACAUCCUGGGGCUGAAGUCGGUCCCAAGGGUAUGGCUGUUCGCCAUUUAAAGUGGUACGCGAGCUGGGUUUAGAACGUCGUGAGACAGUUCGGUCCCUAUCUGCCGUGGGCGUUGGAAGAUUGAAGGGGGCUGCUCCUAGUACGAGAGGACCGGAGUGGACGAACCUCUGGUGUUCGGGUUGUGUCGCCAGACGCAUUGCCCGGUAGCUAAGUUCGGAAUUGAUAAGCGCUGAAAGCAUCUAAGCGCGAAGCGAGCCCUGAGAUGAGUCUUCCCUGACAGUUUAACUGUCCUAAAGGGUUGUUCGAGACUAGAACGUUGAUAGGCAGGGUGUGUAAGCGUUGUGAGGCGUUGAGCUAACCUGUACUAAUUGCCCGUGAGGCUUAACCAU
Molecule: ribosomal RNA, 2558 nt
Filed under: Vibrio cholerae
Lineage: Bacteria; Pseudomonadati; Pseudomonadota; Gammaproteobacteria; Vibrionales; Vibrionaceae
Also listed under: 1 other name
Description: partial 23S ribosomal RNA
Rfam family: Bacterial large subunit ribosomal RNA
Source: RNAcentral